This is a long non-coding RNA of Myotis davidii, 117 nucleotides long. RefSeq lists it as uncharacterized. NCBI's taxonomy places the organism in Eukaryota, Metazoa, Chordata, Mammalia, Chiroptera, Vespertilionidae. The transcript is spliced from 3 exons. The record is from RefSeq and is a predicted model, not a curated record.
AUUGGAAGAAAGAGAACAAGAGAGUGCAAAUAAUUGAAAACCUGUGUGAAAAAAUAAUGACAGAAAACUUCACUAAGCUGGUGAAGGAAAUACAGAUACAAAUCCAGAAAGCACAGA